RNAcentral lists this transfer RNA (77 nucleotides) under Gammaproteobacteria bacterium. RNAcentral describes it as "tRNA-Arg". It matches the Rfam family "tRNA". From Rfam's summary of the family: Transfer RNA (tRNA) molecules are approximately 80 nucleotides in length. Their secondary structure includes four short double-helical elements and three loops (D, anti-codon, and T loops). RNAcentral also lists the same sequence under 2 other names. Lineage: Bacteria; Pseudomonadati; Pseudomonadota; Gammaproteobacteria. The record is from RNAcentral.
GGGCCCGUAGCUCAGUUGGAUAGAGUGUCUGGCUACGAACCAGAAGGUCGGGAGUUCGAAUCUCUCCGGGCCCGCCA